GUGCUUAGCUGGCAGGGGAGGUACCAAGAUCGCCCAGGAGGUGGUUUUCCUGGGCGAGGCUUAUCCAUUGUACUGCGGAUGUGCUGACCCCUGCAAUUUCCCCAAAUGUGGGAAACUUCCCUGCAAAACUUGUGGUAGUGGGGGCCUGUGUUCCUGCUCUCCCCUG
Small nuclear RNA from Artibeus jamaicensis (Jamaican fruit-eating bat), 166 nucleotides. RefSeq annotates it as U1 spliceosomal RNA. The record is from RefSeq and is a predicted model, not a curated record. NCBI's taxonomy places the organism in Eukaryota, Metazoa, Chordata, Mammalia, Chiroptera, Phyllostomidae. The transcript has a single exon.